ACUGUUGCCCCAACAACUACAACAGUUGCCCCAACAACUACAACAGUUGCCCCAACAACUACAACUGUUGCCCCAACAACUACAACUGCAGCAGCAACAAAUACAACCUUGUUAUCAACAUCGUCUGCUGCUCCCACAUCAAUGCUAACAAUUACAUCUGCAGCUCCUCGUCCUACAGGUCAAACUUCUAACGGUUUGGAGUAUCUGGCACAUCUAAACAUGAAGUUACGAUCUUAUGGAGAGAUCAGCAAUGCAACCAUAGUUCAUCUCAUUGAACAGUUUUUCAGAGACCAGCUCCUUAAUGGAUCCGUCCACAGGGUGACUGUACGAAGCAUUCAACGGGUUAGAGUUAACCCAUAGACAAAAACAGCAUCUACAUGACAUUCUCUCUCUAUUAUUUAAUCAAUUUUAUCAAUAUAUUGGAAACAAUAAGUAUUAAUGAUAUUUCAAGUCAAGUUUGAGUGUCUGAACCUGGAAUUAGCUACAGGAUGAUGUUUAACCAGUAAAUAUUAUCCAUACUGAAGUUGGAACACCUUAAAUUUAGGUCAGAAAACCGUCACCCAGUCUAAAACAGUUAGAAGUUAUUUUUGUUUCAAUAUCAGAGUCUGGAACAGAAAAUCUGAGUUUUCCCAGAAUUAACUUAAUCAGUUUAUAAAUAACCUGCUUUCUGGAAAACCCUUAUGAAAUACCAAAGUUUGUGUAGAUUCAAGGUAACUUAUGAACUCAUUGAUUUUGCUUUUCACAAUUGACUAUGCAAAGUGUAAAAAUGUGUCUUAGUAUAAAAAUGUGAUAAAUCAAAGUUAUUUAAA
Molecule: long non-coding RNA, 809 nt
Organism: Xiphophorus hellerii (green swordtail)
Lineage: Eukaryota; Metazoa; Chordata; Actinopteri; Cyprinodontiformes; Poeciliidae
Exons: 3
Source: RefSeq, a predicted model, not a curated record